Molecule: ribosomal RNA, 465 nt
Filed under: uncultured bacterium
Lineage: Bacteria
Description: partial 16S ribosomal RNA
Rfam family: Bacterial small subunit ribosomal RNA
Source: RNAcentral
CCUACGGGAGGCAGCAGUAGGGAAUCUUCCACAAUGGACGAAAGUCUGAUGGAGCAACGCCGCGUGAGUGAAGAAGGGUUUCGGCUCGUAAAGCUCUGUUGGUAGUGAAGAAAGAUAGAGGUAGUAACUGGCCUUUAUUUGACGGUAAUUACUUAGAAAGUCACGGCUAACUACGUGCCAGCAGCCGCGGUAAUACGUAGGUGGCAAGCGUUGUCCGGAUUUAUUGGGCGUAAAGCGAGUGCAGGCGGUUCAAUAAGUCUGAUGUGAAAGCCUUCGGCUCAACCGGAGAAUUGCAUCAGAAACUGUUGAACUUGAGUGCAGAAGAGGAGAGUGGAACUCCAUGUGUAGCGGUGGAAUGCGUAGAUAUGACGAAGAACCCCGAUUGCGAAGGCAGCUUGCUGCAGCGGAACUGACGCUGAUGCUCGAAAGCGCGGGUAUCGAACAGGAUUAGAUACCCGAGUAGUC